GACGAACGCUGGCGGCGUGCUUAACACAUGCAAGUCGAACGGAAAGGCCCUGCUUUUUUGGGGUGCUCGAGUGGCGAACGGGUGAGUAACACGUGAGUAACCUGCCCUUGACUUUGGGAUAACUUCAGGAAACUGGGGCUAAUACCGGAUAGGAGCUCCUGCUGCAUUGUGGGGGUUGGAAAUUUUCGGCGGUUGGGGAUGGACUCGCGGCUUAUCAGCUUGUUGGUGGGGUAGUGGCUUACCAAGGCUUUGACGGGUAGCCGGCCUGAGAGGGUGACCGGCGACAUUGGGACUGAGAUACGGACCAGAGUCCUACGGGAGGCAGCAGUGGGGAAUAUUGCACAAUGGGAGGAAGCCUGAUGCAGCAACGCCGCGUGCGGGAUGACGGCUUUCGGGUUGUAAACCGCUUUCGCCUGUGACGAAGCGUGAGUGACGGUAAUGGGUAAAGAAGCACCGGCUAACUACGUG
Molecule: ribosomal RNA, 468 nt
Filed under: uncultured bacterium
Lineage: Bacteria
Description: partial 16S ribosomal RNA
Rfam family: Bacterial small subunit ribosomal RNA
Source: RNAcentral